This 253-nucleotide ribosomal RNA is filed under the name uncultured bacterium. RNAcentral's name for it is "partial 16S ribosomal RNA". It matches the Rfam family "Bacterial small subunit ribosomal RNA", at positions 524 to 776 of the family's 1533-position model. The record is from RNAcentral.
UACGAAGGGGGCUAGCGUUGCUCGGAAUGACUGGGCGUAAAGGGCGCGUAGGCGGUUUGUACAGUCAGGUGUGAAAUUCCCGGGCUCAACCUGGGGGCUGCACUUGAUACGUAUGGACUGGAGUGGGGAAGAGGGUCGUGGAAUUCCCAGUGUAGAGGUGAAAUUCGUAGAUAUUGGGAAGAACACCGGUGGCGAAAGCGGCUCACUGGACCAUUACUGACGCUGAUGCACGAAAGCUAGGGGAGCAAACAGG